RNAcentral lists this ribosomal RNA (380 nucleotides) under uncultured prokaryote. RNAcentral's name for it is "bacterial SSU rRNA". It matches the Rfam family "Archaeal small subunit ribosomal RNA", at positions 341 to 725 of the family's 1478-position model. The record is from RNAcentral.
GCGAAAACUUUACAAUGCGGGAAACCGUGAUAAGGAAACCCCGAGUGCCAGCAUAGGCUGGCUGUCCGCCAGUGUAAAUAACUGGUGAAGAAAGGGCCGGGCAAGACCGGUGCCAGCCGCCGCGGUAAUACCGGCGGCUCGAGUGGUGGCCACUAUUACUGGGCUUAAAGGGUCCGUAGCUUGAUAUGCAAGUCUCUUGAGAAAUCCGCCGGCUUAACUGGCGGGCGUUCAGGGGAAACUGCAUUUCUAGGGACCGGGAGAGGUGAGAGGUACUGCCGGGGUAGGAGUGAAAUCCUGUAAUCCCGGUGGGACCACCUAUGGCGAAGGCAUCUCACCAGAACGGGUCCGACAGUGAGGGACGAAAGCUGGGGGAGCAAACC